RNAcentral lists this unclassified non-coding RNA (377 nucleotides) under soil metagenome. RNAcentral describes it as "partial contains 5.8S ribosomal RNA, internal transcribed spacer 2, and large subunit ribosomal RNA". The stretch from base 1 to 120 matches the Rfam family "5.8S ribosomal RNA", at positions 35 to 154 of the family's 154-position model. The record is from RNAcentral.
GAUGAAGAACGUAGCGAAAUGCGAUAAGUAAUGUGAAUUGCAGAAUUCAGUGAAUCAUCGAAUCUUUGAACGCAUCUUGCGCUCCUUGGUAUUCUGAGGAGCAUGCCUGUUUGAGUGUCAUUAAAUUCUCAACUACACUGACUUUGAAUUGGUGUGGCUUGGAUUUGGGGGGAAAAUUGUUGUGGACUUUUUUGUAUAGUCUGCUCCCCUGAAAUUGAUUAGCGGUACCUUUGUGGAACUGUCUACAGGUGUGAUAAUUAUCUACAUCCUAGACAUCUGCUGGAAUGCUGCUUUCUAAACCUUACUUGUAUUGACAAUCUUGACCUCAAAUCAGGUAGGACUACCCGCUGAACUUAAGCAUAUCAAUAAGCGGAGGA